Pelobates cultripes (western spadefoot toad) is the source of this 237-nucleotide non-coding RNA. Lineage: Eukaryota; Metazoa; Chordata; Amphibia; Anura; Pelobatidae. The record is from the annotation of a GenBank genome assembly.
GCCAAGAGAAAUGACCGCGGAAUUUAUCUAGUAUAGUAUUAUUUUCUGAGAUAAUUUAAAUAAAAAUCUGAGAUAAUGGCCAGUCUUCUUUUAGUGCAAGACUAGUUUGAUUAUUAUACCCACAUUUGAUAUGAUUUAGACCUAUAUCUCUUUUUAAUACUAAUAUUUCUUUCCAUUCUUAUUUGAAACUGUAAUUGGUUCACAACCUCCUUCCAUUUGGGCUUAAGGGAGUCUUCC